This 465-nucleotide ribosomal RNA is filed under the name Vreelandella stevensii. RNAcentral describes it as "partial 16S ribosomal RNA". It matches the Rfam family "Bacterial small subunit ribosomal RNA", at positions 338 to 795 of the family's 1533-position model. Lineage: Bacteria; Pseudomonadati; Pseudomonadota; Gammaproteobacteria; Oceanospirillales; Halomonadaceae. The record is from RNAcentral.
CCUACGGGUGGCUGCAGUGGGGAAUAUUGGACAAUGGGGGGAACCCUGAUCCAGCCAUGCCGCGUGUGUGAAGAAGGCCCUCGGGUUGUAAAGCACUUUCAGUGAGGAAGAACGCCUGGUGGUUAAUACCCAUCAGGAAAGACAUCACUCACAGAAGAAGCACCGGCUAACUCCGUGCCAGCAGCCGCGGUAAUACGGGGGGUGCGAGCGUUAAUCGGAAUUACUGGGCGUAAAGCGCGCGUAGGUGGCUUGAUAAGCCGGUUGUGAAAGCCCCGGGCUCAACCUGGGAACGGCAUCCGGAACUGUCAAGCUAGAGUGCAGGAGAGGAAGGUAGAAUUCCCGGUGUAGCGGUGAAAUGCGUAGAGAUCGGGAGGAAUACCAGUGGCGAAGGCGGCCUUCUGGACUGACACUGACACUGAGGUGCGAAAGCGUGGGUAGCAAACAGGAUUAGAUACCCCAGUAGUC